RNAcentral lists this ribosomal RNA (501 nucleotides) under uncultured bacterium. Its description in RNAcentral is "bacterial SSU rRNA". It matches the Rfam family "Bacterial small subunit ribosomal RNA", at positions 30 to 527 of the family's 1533-position model. The record is from RNAcentral.
AUUGAACGCUGGCGGAAUGCUUUACACAUGCAAGUCGAACGGUAGAGGGGGCAACCCCUUGAGAGUGGCGAACGGGUGAGUAAUAUAUCGGAACGUGCCCAGUCGUGGGGAUAACGUAGCGAAAGUUACGCUAAUACCGCAUACGAUCUACGGAUGAAAGCGGGGGACUCGCAAGAGCCUCGCGCGAUUGGAGCGGCCGAUAUCAGAUUAGGUAGUUGGUGGGGUAAAGGCUCACCAAGCCAACGAUCUGUAGCUGGUCUGAGAGGACGACCAGCCACACUGGAACUGAGACACGGUCCAGACUCCUACGGGAGGCAGCAGUGGGGAAUUUUGGACAAUGGACGCAAGUCUGAUCCAGCCAUUCCGCGUGCAGGAUGAAGGCCCUCGGGUUGUAAACUGCUUUUGUACGGAACGAAACGGUGAGCUCUAAUACAGUUUGCUAAUGACGGUACCGUAAGAAUAAGCACCGGCUAACUACGUGCCAGCAGCCGCGGUAAAGUG